RNAcentral lists this ribosomal RNA (487 nucleotides) under uncultured bacterium. RNAcentral's name for it is "bacterial SSU rRNA". It matches the Rfam family "Bacterial small subunit ribosomal RNA", at positions 28 to 533 of the family's 1533-position model. The record is from RNAcentral.
GAUGAACGUUGGCGGCGUGCCUAAUACAUGCAAGUCGAACGAAGACUGUAGUAAUACUGUCUUAGUGGCGAACGGGUGAGUAACGCGUGGGUGACCUGCCCCGAAGUGUGGGAUAACAGUUCGAAAGGAUUGCUAAUACUGCAUAAUAUCCAAGAGAUUAGACGCUUUUUGGAUUAAAGGAGUAAUUCGCUUCGGGAGGGGCCCGCGUCCCAUCAGCUAGUUGGUAAGGUAAUGGCUUACCAAGGCGAUGACGGGUAGGGGACCUGAGAGGGUGGCCCCCACAAUGGAACUGAAACACGGUCCAUACACCUACGGGUGGCAGCAGUAGGGAAUAUUAGUAAUGGGCGAAAGCCUGAACUAGCAACGCCGCGUGUGCGAAGAAGGCCUUCGGGUUGUAAAGCACUUUUUGAGAGGAUGAGGAAGGACGGUACUCUCAGAAUAAGUCUCGGCUAACUACGUGCCAGCAGCCGCGGUAAGAGUGUGUGUA